AAACAAGAUGGAGGAUUCGGCCUCGGCCUCGCUGUCUUCUGCAGCCGCUACUGGAACCUCCACCUCGACUCCAGCGGCCCCGACAGCACGGAAGCAGCUGGAUAAAGAACAGGUUAGAAAGGCAGUGGACGCUCUCUUGACGCAUUGCAAGUCCAGGAAAAACAAUUAUGGGUUGCUUUUGAAUGAGAAUGAAAGUUUAUUUUUAAUGGUGGUAUUAUGGAAAAUUCCAAGUAAAGAACUGAGGGUCAGAUUGACCUUGCCUCAUAGUAUUCGAUCAGAUUCAGAAGAUAUCUGUUUAUUUACGAAGGAUGAACCCAAUUCAACUCCUGAAAAGACAGAACAGUUUUAUAGAAAGCUUUUAAACAAGCAUGGAAUUAAAACCGUUUCUCAGGUAGGAAGCCUGGUUAAUAUUUUCAAGUUAUUUAGAGGAUUUAAUUCAGGCGAAAUGGUAUCACAAAUACAUUGCUAUAUUUCCUAGUAUUUUU
Molecule: long non-coding RNA, 485 nt
Filed under: Homo sapiens (human)
Lineage: Eukaryota; Metazoa; Chordata; Mammalia; Primates; Hominidae
Description: non-protein coding lnc-GSPT1-2:1
Source: RNAcentral